CAAUAGCCGCGGUAAUACAGAGGGUGCGAGCGUUAAUCGGAUUUACUGGGCGUAAAGCGUGCGUAGGCGGCUUCUUAAGUCGGAUGUGAAAUCCCUGAGCUUAACUUAGGAAUUGCAUUCGAUACUGGGAAGCUAGAGUAUGGGAGAGGAUGGUAGAAUUCCAGGUGUAGCGGUGAAAUGCGUAGAGAUCUGGAGGAAUACCGAUGGCGAAGGCAGCCAUCUGGCCUAAUACUGACGCUGAGGUACGAAAGCAUGGGGAGCAAACAGGAUUAGAUACCCCUGUAGUCCCUGUCUCUUAUAC
This 301-nucleotide ribosomal RNA is filed under the name uncultured bacterium. Its description in RNAcentral is "partial 16S ribosomal RNA". It matches the Rfam family "Bacterial small subunit ribosomal RNA", at positions 509 to 807 of the family's 1533-position model. The record is from RNAcentral.